RNAcentral lists this ribosomal RNA (459 nucleotides) under uncultured bacterium. RNAcentral describes it as "partial 16S ribosomal RNA". It matches the Rfam family "Bacterial small subunit ribosomal RNA", at positions 338 to 795 of the family's 1533-position model. The record is from RNAcentral.
CCUACGGGUGGCAGCAGUGAGGAAUAUUGGUCAAUGGCCGAGAGACUGAACCAGCCAAGUCGCGUGAGGGAAGACGGCCCUGCGGGUUGUAAACCUCUUUUGUCGGGGAACAAAGCGCGUCACGUGUUACUCAUUGAGAGUACCCGAAGAAAAAGCAUCGGCUAACUCCGUGCCAGCAGGCGCGGUAAUACGGAGGAUGCGAGCGUUAUCCGGAUUUAUUGGGUUUAAAGGGUGCGCAGGCGGAGGUGCAAGUCAGCGGUCAAAUUGCGGGGCUCAACCCCGGACUGCCGUUGAAACUGCAUCCCUUGAGUGGGCGAGAAGUAUGUGGAAUGCGGGGUGUAGCGGUGAAAUGCAUAGAUAUCACGCAGAACUCCGAUUGCGAAGGCAGCAUACCGGCGCGAAACUGACGCUCAGGCACGAAAGCGUGGGUAUCGAACAGGAUUAGAUACCCGGGUAGUC